GACAAAGGAGUAUCAUAUUAGCUAAUAUUAAUCCUCGAUAUAAGUAAUUAACCUAGAGGAACGUGAGGUCAAUGUGUAGAGGGAUAUUUAUUAUAAAUUAAAAUUGUUGAGGAUGAAUAUGUAAAAAAAAAAAAAAUCCUAUUAUACGAUCCAACAGAGGGUCAAGAGCACCUAAGCUUAAACUUUGGAGCAUGAAUGCAUGUCUCUGUCAUCAGGCUUUGGGCUUGUGGUGGCUGCAUGCAGGGAUGUUUGCAUUCGUCCACGUAAAAGGUGAAGACAGGUUGUGGUGGGUGACAUAUACACACAAUUGUCGGUCCAGGUUUGGAAAUGGAGUGAGUUGUUCUAAAGCAAUCAGCAUGAGAUGUUUCCGGGAAG
This 375-nucleotide long non-coding RNA is filed under the name Musa acuminata (dwarf banana). RNAcentral describes it as "long non-coding RNA (MACU_LNC004063)". Lineage: Eukaryota; Viridiplantae; Streptophyta; Magnoliopsida; Zingiberales; Musaceae. The record is from RNAcentral.